RNAcentral lists this RNase P RNA (369 nucleotides) under Hyphomonas sp. RNAcentral's name for it is "RNase P RNA component class A". It matches the Rfam family "Bacterial RNase P class A". From Rfam's summary of the family: Ribonuclease P (RNase P) is a ubiquitous endoribonuclease, found in archaea, bacteria and eukarya as well as chloroplasts and mitochondria. Its best characterised activity is the generation of mature 5'-ends of tRNAs by cleaving the 5'-leader elements of precursor-tRNAs. The record is from RNAcentral. Lineage: Bacteria; Pseudomonadati; Pseudomonadota; Alphaproteobacteria; Hyphomonadales; Hyphomonadaceae.
CCAGACGGCCGGGCAGCCGCUGGUACGCCGGUAACGGCGUACUGGAGGAAAGUCCGGGCUCCGGGGAUACAGGGCGACGGCUAACGGCCGCCCGGCGCAAGCCGAGGGAAAGUGCCACAGAAAGCAAACCGCCCCUCUUCGGAGGGGUAAGGGUGAAAGGGUGGGGUAAGAGCCCACCGCGGGACUGGCGACAGGACCGGCACGGCAAACCCCGCCCGGAGCAAGACCGAAUAGGGGGCGCAUAUGGGCCGUAUCCCGCCCGCGCCCCGGGUGUGUCGCGUGAGGGGACCAGCAAUGGUCCUCCCAGAGGAAUGGCUGCCAGACCCCGCAAGGGGCGAACAGAACCCGGCUUACAGGCCGUCUGGUCAC